UCCCUGGUGGUCCAGUGGUUAGGAUUCUGCAUUCUCACUGUAGAGGGCCCAGGUUCAAUCCCUGGUUGGGGAA
Molecule: non-coding RNA, 73 nt
Organism: Kogia breviceps (pygmy sperm whale)
Lineage: Eukaryota; Metazoa; Chordata; Mammalia; Artiodactyla; Physeteridae
Source: the annotation of a RefSeq genome assembly